UACGGAGGAUGCGAGCGUUAUCCGGAUUUAUUGGGUUUAAAGGGUGCGUAGGCGGGAUAUUAAGUCAGCGGUGAAAGUUUUCGGCUCAACCUUAAAAUUGCCGUUGAAACUGUUAUUCUUGAGUGCAGUAGAGGUAGGCGGAAUUCGUUGUGUAGCGGUGAAAUGCGUAGAUAUAACGAGGAACUCCGAUUGCGUAGGCAGCUUACUAUAUUGCUACUGACGCUGAGGCACGAAAGUGUGGGUAUCAAACAGGAUUAGAUACCCUGGUAGUCCACACAGUAAACGAUGAAUACUAGCUGUUUGCGAUAUAUUGUAAGCGGCCGAGCGAAAGCAUUAAGUAUUCCACCUGGGGAGUACGUCGGCAACGAUGAA
RNAcentral lists this ribosomal RNA (372 nucleotides) under uncultured bacterium. RNAcentral's name for it is "bacterial SSU rRNA". It matches the Rfam family "Bacterial small subunit ribosomal RNA", at positions 524 to 898 of the family's 1533-position model. The record is from RNAcentral.